GGGAGGGAGGGAAGGAGGUCAGGUUACCAGUAAACGCCUUCAAGCCACACAAAUCAGUUUAGUGCUUUGACAGGUAUACACCUGCUGGGCACCAACAUGCACCCUGGGUCUUUCAUCGAGGAGCUUGCAGGCUGGCUGGAAGGGACAAGAGUGUUCCUUGAGAGAGAACAGUUCAACACUGUGAUCAUGUGCCAAGGCCAGAAGUGAAGUAGCUCAGUUACUAAGACAAGAAAAACUCAGAGACCAAGCAGCCAGAGCUAUGGGGCACAGGAAACGGAGCCCAGGGAAGUUCCCAGCAUUGAGGCAUGAAUAUGGUGGUCUGCAAAAGGGCAGCUUUCCCGUGUAUGCAAUCUCAGCCACCAUUGGAAUCACUGAACCUGGAAUCACUGUAUCUGGAAAGGGCCGUGGGGGCCCUCUGUCCUACUCCCCACUAGAGCAGGGAAGGAUGAAGCCUGUGUAGACAAGGACUGCUGCCUGACAUGAGGAUGGAAGCCGAGUGCUUCUGUGUUUUUUCCCUAGCUGUUUACACAAAACAAGACUUUGGAAUAUGUGGAGUUUGCAAACAGUAACGUGAAGCGUGGAGGAGGGAGUUGGAACUUGUGCUCUACGGAAUGUGUUGUCAGUUCCAAAGAAAGCCUCUGAGGGUAAACCCUGGGCUCAGAGCAAUGCCGGGCUCACACAAGAUCUGUCGCUUGCUCCUGCUUGCCUGCCUGCCAGAGGGGCCCUCGCUCCUAUCACUACAACCAAAAUGUGCAAUGCAGUAGGAGUGUCUCAGCACUGUCUGCCAGUUUUCUCUUCUUCACCAUUUUCACAUUAAUUCCAGGGGAAGAGCAUCGAAAAA
RNAcentral lists this long non-coding RNA (841 nucleotides) under Homo sapiens (human). RNAcentral describes it as "HSALNT0367931". The record is from RNAcentral. Lineage: Eukaryota; Metazoa; Chordata; Mammalia; Primates; Hominidae.